GGGGAAUCUUGCGCAAUGGAGGGAACUCUGACGCAGCGACGUCGCGUGAGCGAAGAAGGUCUUCGGAUCGUAAAGCUCUGUCUUUGGGGACGAAGGAAGUGACGGUACCCAAGGAGGAAGCCCCGGCUAACUACGUGCCAGCAGCCGCGGUAACACGUAGGGGGCAAGCGUUGUCCGGAAUUACUGGGCGUAAAGGGUGCGUAGGCGGUAUAUUAAGUCAGGUGUGAAACCCCACGGCUCAACUGUGGGCUUGCACAUGAAACUGGUAUGCUUGAGUACAGGAGAGGAAAGCGGAAUUCCUAGUGUAGUGGUGAAAUGCGUAGAUAUUAGGAAGAACACCAGUGGCGAAGGCGGCUUUCUGGACUGUAACUGACGCUGAGGCACGAAAGCGUGGGGAGCAAACA
Molecule: ribosomal RNA, 404 nt
Filed under: uncultured Eubacteriales bacterium
Lineage: Bacteria; Bacillati; Bacillota; Clostridia; Eubacteriales
Description: bacterial SSU rRNA
Rfam family: Bacterial small subunit ribosomal RNA
Source: RNAcentral